CUGAGCUAGGCCGAGCCAGAGCCGGGGGAAGGGGCUGGGCUGGGUCAGGCCAGGCCAGGGCCGAGGGAAGGGACUGAGCUGAGCUGGGCCAGGGCCAAGCCUGGGCCGAGGGAAGGGGCAGGGCCGCGCCGGGGGCUGAGUUGAGCUGAGCGGGGCCGGGUCAGAGCCGAGGGAAGGGGCUGGGCUGGGCCGGGCCAGGGUCAAGGGAAGGGGUUGAGCUGGGCUGGGUUGAGCCAGGCUAAGGCCGGGGGAAGGGGCAGAGCCUGGCCAGGGCAAGGUGAAAGGCAGGGGAGUAGCUGGUGUGUGUUAGGGGCGAGUAGGUUGAGGGGAUGUGCUGGCCCGGGGGAGGCUGGGGGCAGGGAGAGGGGACCCGGCAGGGCUGGGGAGCUGCUCCAGGGAGGGGCAGGCCUCUGUGGAGGUGGGUGAAGGAGGGUCAGGCCUGGAGGAAGGGAGGUAGCAGAAGACUGUGGGGAGGAGGAGGUGUCUCUACCUUGAGAGUGGAGCUGAGGGGAAGCAGAGUCACAAGGGCUGGAGACAGAGGCAGGGUAGGGGCAGAGGGAAAACUGCGCCUGAAAGGUUGAGGGAAAGAGAAUUGGAGGAAAAGGAAGGAAGAAUGAGGUAGGAGGUAAUGUCUGCAGCAAAAGGAAAACCUUCACGUGAACUUGUUUCCCCCUUCGCUCCGACUCCUGGCCCGCUGCUAGGGCAGCUGUUCAUCUGCAAGCCCCAGGCACAGCCAGGGCCGUGAUUUGCAUGGGUACGAGGCGGGACCCCAGUUGCUGCAGCACAGACAGAUCAUCCACCGCACACACAGUGCUCAUUUUUUUUAAAUCAAGUAGUCAUAACUUUUUUACAAUGUGACACAGAACAGCUGCUGUGAGCUCACAUAUAUGCUGCCUGCCCAAACAAAGCAGGGAAUUAAAGCUUCUUGGAGUUAAAAGUUCACUCUGUAGAUUCAAGAUUGAGUGAACAAAAGGCAGUAACUACUCGGUUGUGUUAAUAAAGCCCUAGCAGUGUGA
Long non-coding RNA from Falco peregrinus (peregrine falcon), 1016 nucleotides. RefSeq lists it as uncharacterized. The record is from RefSeq and is a predicted model, not a curated record. NCBI's taxonomy places the organism in Eukaryota, Metazoa, Chordata, Aves, Falconiformes, Falconidae. The transcript is spliced from 2 exons.